UCCGGGGUACGGUUUUCCCCGGAGUCGGUCCGGCGGAGUUUUGCGGGUAUUUUAAUUGUUGAUAAUUAUCUGGUUUGUCUCGAUAUACGUGAAAGCCAGAUAUUUUGAUUAUUAUAUUACUUUUUAUCGAAAUACGUGCAAAUGGGACCCGCAGACCAAUCAUUGAUUUAAAAAGCCCCGUUUUGAUGAUUAUCUCGAAAACCGGUACCGAUUGGACCCCGCUUUAUCAAUCUAAAGCUAUUAAAUAUCGUAUUUUCAUGUCAUAAACGAUCCAAAGGGGUACCAAUUAUUUGUAAAUAUAAAUAGUCCUUCCUACACCUUAUUUUCAACCGUAAAUCAUUUUCACCAGUUUCUCUGCACGAAUAUCGAGAGAAACCAAACUUUGUUCUUCGUGUUCUUCGUAAUCAAACGAGGAUUUGAAGGUGUUAUUGGAAUCCGAUGGAGGCGUAUGAAUAGUCAAAACGAAGCUCUCGACGCGUAGAAUCUAUUACAAUCAUUAGUUUCGGUGCAGAUUCAACGGGAUUUGGACGAGACGUGUACGCUUGAAGACGUUCAGAAAGUCAAGUGAUAUUGCAAAGCGAAUAAGGCACGAAUCGAGGAAGUGAAGCUAUAUUGCGAAUAGAGUAUAGCCAGAGAUGGUCUAGAUAUUAUGUUAUGCAUAGAUUGUGAAAGUGGAAAGAUGAGAUUGAGCUAUGAGUUGGGAAUUGGAUUUAAGAAAGGAUUAAAGAUGAAUGGCUAGUCUAUGAUUGCGAGUAAAGUUAAGGCUAGGCGAGGAGUCAGAGGUGUUAAGGAUCCAGUGGUCGAGAAGUGUCCAGGAAGAUUGAUAAGGUUGAUGCUAGCUCGAGUUGUGCUAUUGAGAUUCAGAUGUAAGUCAUAGCUGGAAUAGUUGACAGUGAUUCUUCUUAUCGAAGAUGAUCUGAUUUGGUAAGAGAAGUUGUGUAAUAAUAGUGGUUGAUUCUAAUUUCAAUGCUGUAACCUGGAUGCGAUCCUGUUGUUUUAGGGGGUUAAAAUGUUCUCUUUCAAAUCACUUAUUAAAGUUUUCAGGUUUUAAA
This is a long non-coding RNA of Daucus carota subsp. sativus, 1052 nucleotides long. RefSeq lists it as uncharacterized. The transcript has 3 exons. The record is from RefSeq and is a predicted model, not a curated record. NCBI's taxonomy places the organism in Eukaryota, Viridiplantae, Streptophyta, Magnoliopsida, Apiales, Apiaceae.